Molecule: ribosomal RNA, 666 nt
Filed under: uncultured bacterium
Lineage: Bacteria
Description: bacterial SSU rRNA
Rfam family: Bacterial small subunit ribosomal RNA
Source: RNAcentral
AGAGUUUGAUCCUGGCUCAGAACGAACGCUGGCGGCGUGGAUAAGACAUGCAAGUCGAACGGGACAACAUCUGUAGCAAUACAGGUGUUGUUUAGUGGCGAACGGGUGCGUAACACGUGGGCAAUCUGCCGAGAAGUGGGGGAUAGCUCGCCGAAAGGCGAAUUAAUACCGCAUAUGAUCAGGGAGGACAUCCUCUCGACAUCAAAGCCGGGGCAACCUGGCGCUACUCGAUGAGCCCGCGGCCUAUCAGCUAGUUGGUGAGGUAACGGCUCACCAAGGCGAUGACGGGUAGCUGGUCUGAGAGGACGACCAGCCACACUGGAACUGAGACACGGUCCAGACACCUACGGGUGGCAGCAGUCGAGAAUUUUUCUCAAUGGGGGCAACCCUGAAGGAGCGACGCCGCGUGGAGGAUGAAUGCUUUCGGGUUGUAAACUCCUGUCAUUUGGGAACAAGGUAGCGCGGUUAACUGCCGCGUUAUUGAUAGUACCAGAAGAGGAAGAGACGGCUAACUCUGUGCCAGCAGCCGCGGUAAUACAGAUGUCUCACGCGUUGUUCAGAUUCAUUGGGCGUAAAGGGUGCAUAGUGGCCCCGUACGUCAGUGUGAUAUUUCAGAUCUCAACUCCGAAACUGCAUUUGAUACUGCGGGUGCUUGAGGACUGGAGA